AACAAAAUAACCUGUUCCAAUUGUGCUCACUAUCGCUGCAAAUGUUCCCGCAGAAUUUGCAAUUCCUGCAUCACAGAUAAUUCAAAUGGAGAAGGUCACUUAAUAUUCUUCUAUUUGGUUGUAUAGAUGGGCAAGAAAUCAAGGACUUACCAUGGAGGAAUCCUGCAUAUUGAGGUGCUAUGUCUUGCAUAUUGAGAAGAAAGCCAGCUUGGCUGAAA
This 218-nucleotide unclassified non-coding RNA is filed under the name Hevea brasiliensis (rubber tree). Lineage: Eukaryota; Viridiplantae; Streptophyta; Magnoliopsida; Malpighiales; Euphorbiaceae. The record is from RNAcentral.